GACGAACGCUGGCGGCGUGCCUAACACAUGCAAGUCGAACGGAACUGUUUUGAAAGAUUUCUUCGGAAUGAAUUUGAUUUAGUUUAGUGGCGGACGGGUGAGUAACGCGUGAGUAACCUGCCUUCAAGAGGGGGAUAACAUUCUGAAAAGAAUGCUAAUACCGCAUGACAUAUCGGAAUCACAUGAUUUUGAUAUCAAAGAUUUUAUCGCUUGAAGAUGGACUCGCGUCCGAUUAGUUAGUUGGUGAGGUAACGGCUCACCAAGACCGCGAUCGGUAGCCGGACUGAGAGGUUGAACGGCCACAUUGGGACUGAGACACGGCCCAGACUCCUACGGGAGGCAGCAGUGGGGGAUAUUGCGCAAUGGGGGCAACCCUGACGCAGCAACGCCGCGUGAAGGAUGAAGGUUUUCGGAUUGUAAACUUCUUUUAUUAAGGACGAAAAAUGACGGUACUUAAUGAAUAAGCUCCGGCUAACUACGUGCCAGCAGCCGCGGUAAUACGUAGGGAGCAAGCGUUGUCCGGAUUUACUGGGUGUAAAGGGUGCGUAGGCGGCUUUGCAAGUCAGAUGUGAAAUCUAUGGGCUCAACCCAUAAACUGCAUUUGAAACUGUAGAGCUUGAGUGAAGUAGAGGCAGGCGGAAUUCCCCGUGUAGCGGUGAAAUGCGUAGAGAUGGGGAGGAACACCAGUGGCGAAGGCGGCCUGCUGGGCUUUAACUGACGCUGAGGCACGAAAGCGUGGGUAGCAAACAGG
This 751-nucleotide ribosomal RNA is filed under the name uncultured Lachnospiraceae bacterium. RNAcentral's name for it is "bacterial SSU rRNA". It matches the Rfam family "Bacterial small subunit ribosomal RNA", at positions 28 to 776 of the family's 1533-position model. Lineage: Bacteria; Bacillati; Bacillota; Clostridia; Lachnospirales; Lachnospiraceae. The record is from RNAcentral.